UGUUGCAAAUCAAGUCUAGAGUGAUUUACUGUCCUAUGCAAUUACAUUUUAUUUCUCUUGCAAGUUUCAUAGCAUUUAUGUGUGUUUUACAGAUUUAACAAUGGGAUAUAAAUUGACUUUUUUAAUCCUUGGACUUUGCCUGAUUGCACAUUUUGAUGCGGCAUUAGGUGUAAAAAGAGACCUGUCUUGUGGCUGCAUGCCAGAGGAGGAGUGUACCAAUGGAUAUGACUUCAUGCCAGAUGAACAUAAAACAGCUGAUUGCGAAGAUGGGACAAUAUAUUGUUGUAAGAGCCAAGAAAGACAAAAAUAAGGACUCCUGGCACGAUACAAUACAUAUAGAAAGAACAGAUAAACUGCGACUGUAAAUUAAUUUGUGACAAGAAAUGUAAAAUAAACGAAUAUAUCCAUUA
Ruditapes philippinarum (Manila clam) is the source of this 410-nucleotide long non-coding RNA. RefSeq lists it as uncharacterized. The record is from RefSeq and is a predicted model, not a curated record. The transcript is spliced from 3 exons. Lineage: Eukaryota; Metazoa; Mollusca; Bivalvia; Venerida; Veneridae.